Molecule: ribosomal RNA, 367 nt
Filed under: Neotermes nilamburensis
Lineage: Eukaryota; Metazoa; Arthropoda; Insecta; Blattodea; Kalotermitidae
Description: partial large subunit ribosomal RNA
Rfam family: Archaeal large subunit ribosomal RNA (bases 1-210)
Source: RNAcentral
CCUGUUUAAACAAAAACAUCUCUUCUUGUGAAUUUUUGAAGUAUGGUCUGCCCACUGAUAAUUAAUUGAAGGGCCGCGGUAUUUUGACCGUGCAAAGGUAGCAUAAUCAUUAGUCUUUUAAUUGUGGACUGGUAUGAAUGGCUUGACGAGAUACUAACUGUCUUUUUAGGAUUUUAUUAUUGAAUUUGGUUUUUGGGUAAAAAUACCUAAAUUUUGUUAUGGGACGAGAAGACCCUAUAGAGUUUUAUGUAGCUUUCUUUCUUUAGUUUGAUUUAUUUUGUUGAGUUUAUGUUGCAUUUUGUUGGGGUGAUGGGAGAUUAAGUUAAACUUCUCUUUUUAGUAGUUCACUUGUUUGUGUUUUUAUGAU